This 1378-nucleotide long non-coding RNA is filed under the name Onthophagus taurus. RNAcentral's name for it is "uncharacterized LOC111428964, transcript variant X1". Lineage: Eukaryota; Metazoa; Arthropoda; Insecta; Coleoptera; Scarabaeidae. The record is from RNAcentral.
CCUUUUUGGUUAUUUUUAAAGCAAGAAAUUGAAUAAUCGGACGAAGAUUCGGACAAAUAUGUGAGCGAGGGAAAUGGCGAAUACGAACGAACGAAAUAUUGUUCAUGAGAAUGGUAAAUCACCGGCUACCAAGAAGAAUGUUCAAGUCUAACAUGACAGAGAGAUAAUCACUACAAGGAUGAACUGGAGAGUGGUCUAACUGGAGUGGUAAUCUUCGAAGUAUGGAAGUGUGAAAUUAGAAAGGCAGAAUGUCUUGAAGCAGGCUAAGGUUAGGUGUUUGAAAGGUAAUGCAAUCCUAGAAAUUAUUACUAAAUGGAGAAAAAAUUUUAAGGUAUACAUGAGAUAUCUGGAGUUAGGAAAAGAUUUAGCUAUAUCUCUUAUGUAGUAUAGUCAGACGAAUGCCCAACAUGACUAUUUGAGUUGUGUAUAUAAUAAUAAAACGCAAGCCACAAGACACCCGCGACUCCUACGCGUUCCAGCUUUAAGAGGUAUAAAUGCUGAAGUCGGUAUAAAUGGCAUCCACCUGGACGUUCUUAUCAAGACUUGUAAAAAGAAAAUUAGUAUCCUCUAAUCGAUUGGUCUCAACAAAAACGUCCAGGGUUCAUCAAGGGAAAAGAGAUAGUAGAGAAGCGUAAAGAACGAACAGAGUUUCUUUUGGAGGGAACAACUUUUGGGAAGGAUGUGGGAAAAAGAAUGGUUAUGUUUAAGGACUUGGUAAGGAGCGCAAUUAACAAGGAAUGCUGGAGAUGUGCUAACAAGGUGUUGGAAAGGGCAACUCCAGGGUAUAUGGUAAGUCAAGAGGUUAAGGUGGAUUUAAUAAGGGUGGAAGCUGGGAAAAAAAGCAGUGAAAUACGAGGAAGUAUAGAAGGAAGACCGCAUUGCAGGAUCCUGAGAGAGUGCUAGAAGGAAAUCAAGGAGAGGAGAUUAAAUAUAUGGGCAAGGAGAUAUUAUAAGAGAGUGGGAUAUUCGAUAACUGGUAUUGGCAAUAGAAGAGUGGAAAGAGGAACUGAGGGAUAGAGACAGGGACAUACAGAUGCAGGAGAGAUGGUCACAGAUACGAGAAGGAAGAUAUAAUGUAAGAUAUGGGGAGAUAGUGACAGAGGAACUGCCAAAGUAUCUGUUGAUGGAAGGGAACAGAUUGUUUUUGCAGUUACUAGUUUUAAUUUUUCCUUAUCCCAGUUCCAAACCAAGCCUUUUUUUAUAACAUUUUCUUUAUUAAGAGAAUCCAUUUGGAUUCAAAGAUAGAAUCCAGCAAGAAUAUUGUGCCCAGCUAUAUGGAUAUCAAUGGAAACUGGGACUGCAAACGGUAUUGUGAUAUAUUUCCAUAAAUAUCACUAUUAAUUUUUAUACAAUAAAUAAUAUAAAUGUGAUUUUCAGA